AUGUCCUGCUUCAUGUUUGCUAUUCUCCUGGGCACUUUCUUAGGCAUUGACGCCCGGACCGUUCGACAGUGGCCUGUCGUCCUGGUGAGACGUGUGGGCAGCCCUGUGUCCUUGCAUUGUUCUGUGACCGGGACAUCGAACCCCAACCUGUACUGGUACUGGCAGGCAGCUGGGGGGUCCCCCCAGAUGCUCUUCUACUCGAUUGGUGUGGGCGACAUACAGAGCGAGGCCCCCGGGCACCUCUCGGCGUCCCGGCCCCAGGACAGCGAGUUCACCCUGAGCGCAGACAAGCUACAGCCGGGGGACUCCGGCGUUUACCUCUGUGCCUGGGACAUACACUGA
Molecule: non-coding RNA, 342 nt
Organism: Chrysochloris asiatica (Cape golden mole)
Lineage: Eukaryota; Metazoa; Chordata; Mammalia; Afrosoricida; Chrysochloridae
Source: the annotation of a RefSeq genome assembly